GCAAAUCAAUAUAAUCUGAAAUUGUUAUUUUUACUUUUAUUUAUAAAUUUAAUUAAUUUUGAGAAAAAUUAUUUAUUGUUAUUGUAUUUAUUUAAGAUUAAAUUUUUUUUUGUAAUAGUUUAUUAGUACUUUGAAGGAUUAUAGAAUUAUUUGAUUAUUAUUUAUAAAGUAUUAUUAGUUUUUUGUACCUUGUGUAUCAGGGUUUAUUAAAUAUUUAAUAUUUAUUUAUUAUUCCCGAUCUUAGGAGAGUUAAUUUAUUUAUGUUAGUUAAUGUUUAAUUAUUAUUAAUAAUAAUUUUUUAGGAGUGAAAUGCUAUACGUUCUUAAGGAUUUCUGGUUUUUUAAGAAAUAAAUUUAAUUUAGUAAUUAUUUCAUAUAUUAAUAAUAUAAAUAUAUUUAUUAAUAUUAAAUAAUUGUCAAUAUUUUGAGGGAUAAGCUUUGAAGUAUAAAUUAAUAAAUUUUAUUUUAAAAUAAGUCUAGUGAAUUUAAAGGUGGUUAUUUCUAUUUAAGUGUGUUGAAAUUUUACUUACUUAUGAUUACAUUUAUAUUAAUUUUUAUUUUUUUAUUAAAAAUAUUUAAUUAAUAAUUAGUUAAUUGUUAUAAUGAUAAAAUUAGUAUAAAUUAUUAGUGGAAUUAUUAAUUUUUGGUAAUAAGUUAUUAGGAAUUAGGCAAAUUUUAUUUUCGCCUGUUUAACAAAAACAUCUCUUUUUGUUUAUAUAUAAAGUAUGACCUGCCCACUGAUUUAUUUGAAGGGCCGCGGUAACCUGACCGUGCAAAGGUAGCAUAAUCAUUAGUUUCUUAAUUAGAGGCUGGAAUGAAUGGUUGGACGAAAUAUGAGCUAUCUCAUUAUUUUUAUUAGAAUUUAAUUAUUAAGUAAAAAAGCUUAAAUAUUGUUAUGGGACGAGAAGACCCUAUAGAGUUUAAUAUUAUAAUUUUUAGAUUAGUUUUGUUUCGCAAUAUUAAUUAUAAUUUUUUGUUGGGGUGACAGGAAGAUAUAAAUAACUCUUUUUAUUGAUAAAUAUUAAUUUAUAGAAUUUUGAUCCAUUUAUAAUGAUUAUAAGACUAAAUUACCUUAGGGAUAACAGCGUAAUCUUUUUUGAGAGUUCUUAUCAAUAAAAGGGGUUGCGACCUCGAUGUUGGAUUAAGAUUAACAUUAGGUGUAGAAGCUUAUUAGAUGAGUCUGUUCGACUCUUAAAUUCUUACAUGAUCUGAGUUCAAACCGGCGUGAGCCAGGUCGGUUUCUAUCUAUAAUAAAAUUUAAUAUUUUAGUACGAAAGGACCAAAUAUUGUAAAUAAUUUAAUUUUUAUAAUGAUUACUAUUAAUAACUAUUUUGGCAGAUAAGUGCAGUGGAUUUAGAAUCUAUAAAUAUAGAUAU
Molecule: ribosomal RNA, 1375 nt
Filed under: Blattella asahinai (Asian cockroach)
Lineage: Eukaryota; Metazoa; Arthropoda; Insecta; Blattodea; Blattellidae
Description: 16S ribosomal RNA
Rfam family: Archaeal large subunit ribosomal RNA (bases 893-1250)
Source: RNAcentral